AGCCUCUGCAGCUUCUUCUACAUCCCCAACAGUCCUCCGCAUACAGCAGAGCACUGACUCAUCUUCCCAGACUUCUUCUCUUAUGCGAGCUCCACCGCCUUUGCCCGCCUUCGAGGUCCAGGAACUUCCCAGUCGCCAUUCUCCUGCUCGAGAUCCCAUUGUUGUUGCUUCCGUGCUUUGGCAGUUGAAGAUUCUAGAAUCAUUCGAACUGAGAUUUGAGGAAUUUGUUCUGCAAUUUAAGCUCCACGACUGUCUGGACGAGCUGAUUUGUGAGUGUCGCCUGAGUUAAUCAAAUCGUCGCUGCCCUUGAUGAAGACAAAGAGACAAAGAUGAUGACGGUAAGGAAUUGAUGAUGGCACUGGGCUUUCAGCAGAGGGCUCGGGGCAACCUUGUUGUACCGCGCCAUGGUUGCAGUUGCUUCU
This 422-nucleotide long non-coding RNA is filed under the name Malus domestica (apple). RNAcentral describes it as "long non-coding RNA (MDOM_LNC010673)". The record is from RNAcentral. Lineage: Eukaryota; Viridiplantae; Streptophyta; Magnoliopsida; Rosales; Rosaceae.